GUCCUCUUCGGAGUGACAUACAUUAAAUUUGGAACAAUACAGAGAAGAUUAGCAUGGCCCCUGCACAAGGAUGACACGCUGAAUUAGAGUGGACGACCUCCGGGUCGCAAUAUUUUUUU
Non-coding RNA from Tulasnella calospora, 119 nucleotides. NCBI's taxonomy places the organism in Eukaryota, Fungi, Basidiomycota, Agaricomycetes, Cantharellales, Tulasnellaceae. The record is from Rfam.